UAGCUGAUUUAUUCACCUUACAAUUAUACUAUUAUUUGAAGAUGCGAAUAUCUACUGAAAGUGUUGAUGUAAUGGUGUUGAUAGGUUUUGUGAGUAUUUGAAAUGCCUUUUUAAGUAGAGGUAUUAGAGAUACGAAGUUCUAGCUUUGUUCUUGGGGUAAUCUGAAAAAGAACUUUUGAGGUAGCUCAACUAAUCUGGUGUAAAGCUAUGAAGCAUUUUUAUUUUUUGAAAAGGUUACUGAAGGGGGAUACCUUAAUUUUGUUUUAUCCCUACAUCAGUUUAAGUAUAUUAAGCUCACAUUUAGUUAGAUGUAUAGCUUGCAUGGCAAUAUUCUAAUGUAUACUGCUAGCCAUGCACUUGCCUUUGUGGAUAACCAGGAGUACAGGCGCCUGCGCUUUAAGAGAACAGGAACAACGCAAGUCCUCCCUACGCCUCCUCUCCAAUUCUGCCCAAGAGCCACCCAACAUGUCUUGGCAAAGAUGGAAAGAGGAUGAGUUCUUCAUUUCGUAUAGGUGAUUAUUUGAUGUUUUCGAUGAUUGGCUCGAUUCCUUCCUUCUAGCAAAGACCCUCAAAUAAUUCUCACCUAUGUGUGUGUGCGAGGUAGGGGUCUCGAGCCAUGUUUAUUGGGUUAGGUAUGCAUAUUUUUUCACAUGUUGCAACGCAUAAGCAUUUUUAAUAGUGCUCACCUAUGUGUGUAUGUGGGAGGGAGGAGUUUUGAACCAUGUUUAUUGGGUUAGGUACGUGUAUUUCUUCACCCAUUGCAACACACGGACAUUUUUGCUAGUUAAUGAAUAAUAUAAAUGGACAUGCUCCUUGAGCUGAUGCGGUCAUUUGAUAGAUAGCACCUGCAUAAAAGGGCAUCCAGAUGCUAUCUAGUAUAUAUCAUUUGUAAUGCAAUGCACAAUAAAGUUGCCCUAUGUUUUCUUAUCA
Long non-coding RNA from Triticum dicoccoides, 930 nucleotides. RefSeq lists it as uncharacterized. Lineage: Eukaryota; Viridiplantae; Streptophyta; Magnoliopsida; Poales; Poaceae. The transcript has 2 exons. The record is from RefSeq and is a predicted model, not a curated record.